Long non-coding RNA from Chroicocephalus ridibundus (black-headed gull), 5375 nucleotides. RefSeq lists it as uncharacterized. NCBI's taxonomy places the organism in Eukaryota, Metazoa, Chordata, Aves, Charadriiformes, Laridae. The transcript has 6 exons. The record is from RefSeq and is a predicted model, not a curated record.
CCUGGAGGGAUGUGGAUGACCACAUCCUCAGCAGACAUCCCAGCCUCCAAGACCUCCAGGCUUAGAUGUGAACCAAGAGGAUCUCAGUCUUCCUUGGGUUAUGUUCCUCAUGUAUGUUUGAGCCGGUAAUUCAGGACUCUGGCAGGAUGUACAGCAAUCUGGUGCAGAGCUGCUGUGUGACUGUAGUUGCCACCGGGACGCUGUUCCCACAGUGAUGAAGGCUAAUGAUGGGGCUGACUGACUAAUGGCUAAUGAUGGGAUUUCAUGACUGACCUGCAUGGAAGCUAAGGAGCAGUCACUGACCAUAGUGUUGGCUGAAGAAGAGGAAGGAGCGUGUGAGCAACAGAAGCAUCUCUCUGCCAGUGGUGCUCAACCACGGACUGGCGGUGCUUCACAGCACUGCAUCCCUUCACACCCCCUCCUUUGGGCAAGUGCUGCUUUGAACAACAAACAAAUGAUGGCCUCUGGCUUGUCAUAGCACAUUCACGUCUCUUGAAGCAUUCAAUUUUUAUCUAACAUACAUUCUCCUCAUUCCCCAACAUCUUGCCACGUCACAGGGAAAAUACGUUUUCAAAACCAAAUCAAUUCCAACUGCCAAGGCUGCAUUGCUGAGCCACUUUUUCACAAGCUUUUAAUUUUCUUCUUGCUCUAGGUGGCUGGAGCCCUUUCCUCUUAAUGCCUUCAAACCAGAAUCUGAUGCAGGCAACACAGGGAUCCACCCCAGGCCUUGAGGUGCUGCCACCGCACACGUAACUGGCACCAGUUCCAUCAGAUCAGUUGUUUCCAAACUAUGGAUCAUAACCCCUACCAGUGUUGCUCACCUAAUGGUAACACAUGUUCAUCCACUGUUGUUGCUGAUGUCCAGGGCUGCAUGAAAACGAUUGAUCUACAGGAGAGUCAGAAGCAGAAAAAGCCCUUUGUCUGAGCGUUUGCUGUUUGGGAUCUGCUGGCUGAGCGCGCCGGUUGGUCACCUAAGGACACAUCUACGUUACAUGGUGCCGUGUCAUGGGAGAGAUAGCCAAGAUAGCCCAGGAAGAAGGACGAUAUAUCUGCGUGGCAUGGUGCCAGGCUGCGUACUCAUUUGGCUCCCGGGGGCUGUAUAAAUGAGUUAGCUCUACUCGGUUGGCACAGCUCUGUGCUGAUCUGGCUGUCCUGAUCCUGGGACUGGAACUGGCUUGUUUGGAGCAUCCAGGAGGUGAGAGUGCCUGUGGCUCCGGUAUUUUCUGCUGCGAGAGAAGUGGCCUUAAUUGCCCCAGCUGGUGGCUGGGUCCCAGGCACGCAGGGUCUCCUCUGUCCCCCAUGCUCCACCACUGCCUGGUCAAAAGCCCUGUUAUCAGAAGGACAGCAAUAAACCCCGCUGGAUGUUGCAAAAGAGGUUUUCUUUUUAAAAAGCCUGUUUUGCUUUAUUAUUUUUUUUACAUGAAUUUGUCUCUUUUAUUUGGCUGCUUCCCACUUCUGCCUUGAAAGUAAGGGACCAAGAGCUUUCUCUUAAGACACCAAGAGCUUUUUGUGAGACGGUCACUACUUAAAUCGUCAGGAGUCAAAUGCCGCGGCUCUUUUAGGGCCUUGAUACAGAGCUGUGAAAGAGUGAAAGUGGCAGAUUCUCAUCUCUCAACCAAGCCAUGUUUUCAGGGACCCAGGAGCUGCCAACAAAGAAGUUCCCUCUUUAGAUAUUCUAUUGUUGAUUAUUUCAAAGCCUCAGCUGCUAGUCAGCCUGAAGGGAAUAGCUCUGUUCUUAAGCCCUAAAAGUCUCAAUUCUGCCACAGAAAAGCUAUCUAGCUGGCUCAUUGGUAUCACCUUCAGAAGCUUCCGGAGAGAACUCAAGAUUGACAGGUUCACUCGCUGAUCAGGGUUGUGAUCUCCACCUUGUUUCUGAGGAUUUUGAAAAGCCCGAUGUGCUCUGCACUUAGCUUGCGCAGCUGUUUUUUUCUGCCCUGGCUAUACAUGUUCUGAUCUAUGGAUAUGAUACUCAUACACAAUUGAUUAAGGCCCUUCUGAAUUUCUUUGCUUCCAGAAGCAGCAUCCAUCAAAGUCACCUACAAUUAAUCACAUUUCACACACUGAGUGGAAACAAUUGUCUUCUGUAAAAGCCCUCCAUAAACCGAGAAAAAGACAUUUGAAAAUGGCUCCCUAAACCAAAGUUACUAGUGGUUGCAAUUCCCAAUACCGUAUUUCCAGGCAAAAAGAACAUCAGGUUCAUAUUUUCUAACUUUAUUUUCUCUGUAGAUAAAAGCUUCCCAUAGUUACUUCACCUUCAAAAAUGACUAGAAAAGGAUGCAUGUUGGAAAAGUCCUUUAAGUUGCUAUCAGCAGUCUUCUAUUCCUGAUGCUGGCUGGCUGUUGGAUGAUUAUUUCUCUACAGCACUCCUGCGGAGGGUCUAAGCAACAGACUAAAGCUUUCAAGUUUUCAAAGCUGAUAUUUUCACAAGCCUCUCUAGACACAAUAAUGCCUUCAAUUUUCAGGCAGGCUAUUUAGUCUUCCUCCGUUUGUUCACCCUGCUGACACUGAUGUUCUGAUCUGGCAUAAUAUAGCUUGCCAGGUCCUCUCCAUAAACAGUGUAAGGAGGUUCACAGAUAUCACGAAAGCUGCGUGAAGGUUCAGGCACUACUCCUGUAACAACUGUAAAAGAUUGCAUACGUCUGGAUGCAUAUGAAUCACAUGAAAGCAGUUCUGAGAAAAUAGUCCUGCCAAAAACUUUCUUGUUCAUACCUCCCAAGUAUAUCAAACCAUUUGCAAGAAGUCUUGGAAGGCAGCUAAAAAAGCCAUAUUCAAAUAAGACAUAGCAAUCAUUCAUGAGGCCAGUAUCAAAUAUUUUUGGUCCUUACAUGAAUUUUACCACUAAGGAAUUCGGAAAAAAAUUGCCAGAAACUUUAAAAUGACAAUGCCAUCGUAAAUUAAUACCUCCUUUCUCACAGAAGGUUGCAUUGUGUUUGUUCUCUAAGCAGGAAACCUUGACCUUUCCUGCCUUCAUUGAAGAUCUACUUUGAUGUUCUUGGCCAGCAGCUGACUGGCCCUGUGAAAGAAACUUGAGGCUUUGCAGACUGUUGCCUACUUCUGUGGUCACAUUUAGUUCCAGAAGUACCUGAGGUUUGCAGUAACCUUCUCCCACCAGAUAUGCAGCAUAGGUAAGAUGGAAGGCGCUGUCAAAAGAAGCCCUCAUAGCACCGCGUAACUGUUGAAGAGGCUCAGGAGAAAGUCAGAGUUUUCAUAACAUAUUUUAAGGUGUCCAGGAUUGCAUAGCUUGGUUUUAUCUCCAGAGAGGUUCAGAUGUGUAAAAUCACAGCCAUAAAUUUGCUUGCUGGCCUUGAGUUUGUUACACAGAGAAAUUGUAUUAUUUCUUACACAAAAAGAUCUUCAAGAUACCAGCAAGUUGACGUUACACUGCGGCCUCCCAGUCAUGCUCAUACAGAUUGUACAUUUUGCGUAAAUCAGCUCUUUCUUGGUAGCUCUUAAAGGUAAUAAAACUAAUAGCAGGAAAACGUAACUGCACGAGCACUCUUCGAUACAACUGAUAAUGCAUCCAGGGUAGAAUAAAACUAGUGGUUAAAUUCACAAGGUCUGACUUCAUCAGUGAAAGCAGGAGACCUGUUGAUAUUCCAGCAGCAAACACUAGCAAAUGCACACUAAACAUUUACAGCAUGUAAAUAGCAGCCUCCAAAUAGUCUGGGUAGAAUCUCACUUUUUCUGCUUGAGGUGGUUAUCUGGUGAGAGAAGUUUUCUGGUUGAAGGAAUAAAAAAAAAUGUAAGCCCAAGGCCAGCAUGGAAAACUUCUGGGUCCAAAGAAAACCUUCGGCUUGUUUUGUAACUCCCACUGUCACAGCCGCUUCUUUCAUUGCUUUUUGUAGAGGAUGCAGGCUUCUCUCAACAUUUAUACAUCCUGUUGGCUGCAAUGAGCCAGCUCGCUUUGGAGGUCAAAUAUGUUAUUUUGAUUAGUUUAACACCUCCCCAGAAAACCUGCCUUCUCCCCAUGCAUCAUACAGUUAACAGCAUCCAGGUCUACUUCAGGCAUGCUCCCAACAUACUUUUGGCUUUUCAAAGUGUUAAAAAUGUGAAAAGUUGCCUUUGGGCCUCUCAAAACCCACAAUUUACAAUAUAUUUCUGAACUUCAUGGGAUUAAAUUCAUUAACAAAAUCUCAAAUUUAUUAUAUUACCUUCGCAGGGUCUGGAGUUAACAUUCAGGUUUUGUAUCCCUGUCUUCAUGAUAAAGUACACACCAUAGCCAUUGGCAUGGUGAGGCUUCACAGCCAAACCAGUUUUGCUCUAAAGAUCUUGGCAAAAUUUGAAACAUAUUCUUCACUCUGAAAUUUUCAUGAAAUCUUACCUGUGUCUACACACUGGAAUUAAGUGAGUUCAUGCUAGUUUCCUACAUAUGCUCAACAUCUGGAAAAAAAUACACUUUCCAGUGAUUUUUGGAUGCUUUCUACUUCUGUAACCCAAAAGUUUGUACUUCUGCAGUAGCACAAAAAUGUGUAAAGGUCCAUGUUCUUCCUCUACUCCUAUUUAAUAUGGCGCCUGUUUUAUCAGCCUAAGAACACUAUAAGAAAUGAUCAAACAGUUACAUCUCUGAACAUUACAUUUUCCUGUGGUUUUUGACAGAGCUUUUUUGCACUCCUUGCAAAUGUGGUUUGUUUCAUAAUGACCAUAUUCAACACUGUUUACCAAUUAAGAUCUGGUUUUGCCUCAAAAAUUGUUAAUUCUUUUUUUGAGAGACAGAAAAUGUGUGUCUUUUAUUUUUUAAUCACAGCUGGCCAUUACAAAAUUUAGGGUACAAUAAUUUUGUAAUGGAGAAAAAAGAGAGGGAAAAAGUAGUAAUAUAUGUCCUGUCUUGCAACUGUAAUGUCUUCUUAGGUAGAAGCAUAGCUACUUUCUUCUGGGGGGAGGAUUCAUUAAGCCUUUCAUCUCACAGAGGGAAAAGGUAUAUUAUGUGGAUGUGUUUGCCAAAAAAUUAAAAAAAUCUCUCCAUUAAGAUUAACUUUGAAACUCCCUCAAAACAGUAUGUUAUAGAAAAGUUCAAAGACAUUUCCUUUCCUCUCUAAGAUAAAAAGAGUUGCACAUAAUAUUCUGUGUUUCAAAAAGUUAUUCAUCACAAUCACAGUUAAAGUUUUAAAUUUCAUCUUAAGGUUGUUUAUUCCCUGAUAAAGUGACCACAAUGCAAUAGACAUGUAGUAUCAACAGAAAAGAAGAUGGUUCGACAGAUUAAAAAUGGCAUGUAUUCAUAUUUGGAGCUCUAAAACAAAGAUGAAGUUUUCAUAUUCCCAUAGCAGUAGCCACUCUUCCAGAAUGUAUUUUUGCUAUAAAAGUCUCAAGAAAUAAAUAAAAAAACCCCUAAGAUUUUGUCCUGUUUCCUUUUUGUUCCCAGCUGUCUGCAGCUGUCU